GACGAACGCUGGCGGCGUGCCUAAUACAUGCAAGUUGAGCGAUGAAGAUUGGUGCUUGCACCAAUUUGAAGAGCAGCGAACGGGUGAGUAACGCGUGGGGAAUCUGCCUUUGAGCAGGGGACAACAUUUGGAAACGAAUGCUAAUACCGCAUAACAACUUUAAACAUAAGUUUUAAGUUUGAAAGAUGCAAUUGCAUCACUCAAAGAUGAUCCCGCGUUGUAUUAGCUAGUUGGUGAGGUAAAGGCUCACCAAGGCGAUGAUACAUAGCCGACCUGAGAGGGUGAUCGGCCACAUUGGGACUGAGACACGGCCCAAACUCCUACGGGAGGCAGCAGUAGGGAAUCUUCGGCAAUGGACGAAAGUCUGACCGAGCAACGCCGCGUGAGUGAAGAAGGUUUUCGGAUCGUAAAACUCUGUUGGUAGAGAAGAACGGUGGUGAGAGUGGAAAGCUCAUCAAGUGACGGUAACUACCCAGAAAGGGACGGCUAACUACGUG
This 497-nucleotide ribosomal RNA is filed under the name uncultured bacterium. RNAcentral describes it as "partial 16S ribosomal RNA". It matches the Rfam family "Bacterial small subunit ribosomal RNA", at positions 28 to 507 of the family's 1533-position model. The record is from RNAcentral.